UGCCGGAUCGUCUAACGGUAGGACAUAUGCCUCUGGAGCAUAGUAUCUAGGUUCGAAUCCUAGUCCGGCAGCCA
This 74-nucleotide transfer RNA is filed under the name Candidatus Woykebacteria bacterium RIFCSPLOWO2_01_FULL_41_12. Its description in RNAcentral is "tRNA-Gln". It matches the Rfam family "tRNA". From Rfam's summary of the family: Transfer RNA (tRNA) molecules are approximately 80 nucleotides in length. Lineage: Bacteria; Candidatus Woykeibacteriota. The record is from RNAcentral.